This 20-nucleotide non-coding RNA is filed under the name Arabidopsis thaliana (thale cress). Lineage: Eukaryota; Viridiplantae; Streptophyta; Magnoliopsida; Brassicales; Brassicaceae. The record is from RNAcentral.
UAGACGAAGCUUAGAGGUCA